GAUGAACGCUGGCGGCGUGCCUAAUACAUGCAAGUCGAGCGAACAGAUAAGGAGCUUGCUCCUUUGACGUUAGCGGCGGACGGGUGAGUAACACGUGGGUAACCUACCUAUAAGACUGGGAUAACUUCGGGAAACCGGAGCUAAUACCGGAUAACAUUUGGAACCGCAUGGUUCUAAAGUGAAAGAUGGUUUUGCUAUCACUUAUAGAUGGACCCGCGCCGUAUUAGCUAGUUGGUAAGGUAACGGCUUACCAAGGCAACGAUACGUAGCCGACCUGAGAGGGUGAUCGGCCACACUGGAACUGAGACACGGUCCAGACUCCUACGGGAGGCAGCAGUAGGGAAUCUUCCGCAAUGGGCGAAAGCCUGACGGAGCAACGCCGCGUGAGUGAUGAAGGGUUUCGGCUCGUAAAACUCUGUUAUUAGGGAAGAACAAAUGUGUAAGUAACUGUGCACGUCUUGACGUUACCUAAUCAGAAAGCCACGGCUAACUACGUG
This 497-nucleotide ribosomal RNA is filed under the name uncultured bacterium. RNAcentral describes it as "partial 16S ribosomal RNA". It matches the Rfam family "Bacterial small subunit ribosomal RNA", at positions 28 to 507 of the family's 1533-position model. The record is from RNAcentral.